AGAGAGAGACAUGCGCGCAUAUCAAUAAGCGGAGGAAAAGAAACUAACAAGGAUUCCCUUAGUAACGGCGAGUGAAGCGGGAAGAGCUCAAAUUUGAAAUCUUCAAGGUUUUACCUUGACGAAUUGUAGUUUAAAGAAGUGUUUUCUGCUGAAGUUUUGGUAAAAGUUCUUUGGAAUAGGACAUCAUAGAGGGUGAGAAUCCCGUAUUUGACCAUUAUUUUCAGCUUUGUGAUACACUUUCAAAGAGUCGGAUUGUUUGGGAAUGCAGUCCAAAAUGGGUGGUAAAUUUCAUCUAAAGCUAAAUAUUGGCGAGAGACCGAUAGCGAACAAGUACCGUGAGGGAAAGAUGAAAAGAACUUUGAAAAGAGAGUUAAACAGUACGUGAAAUUGUCAAAAGGGAAGCGUUUGACACCAGUGUUGUUUUCCUCGAAAAUCAAUUAAAAAUGGCUCGAUUUUGUAUUGUUGAGACCUUAAAAGCUCACUGUACAUUUUUCGUGUCUUUUUUAAUGCACUUUUCGUUUAACGAAGUCAACAUCAGUUUCUUUUGUUGUAAAAGGGUCAUUGGAAGGUGGCUUUCUUUUCGGAGAAAGUGUUUAUAGCCUUUGGCCUCUGCAAUCGAAGAGACUGAGGUCUGCAGCGUAGACUCUUCGGGGUUAGAUACAUUUGUGCUAAGUUAUAGCUUUUUAUAGACAACUUGUUGACUAUAAUUAGUCUUGUAGCUUACUCGCUUAUGCUAUUUUACCUACGCUUAGGAUGUUGAAGAUGUAGCACAUCAU
RNAcentral lists this ribosomal RNA (776 nucleotides) under uncultured Neocallimastigales. RNAcentral describes it as "partial large subunit ribosomal RNA". It matches the Rfam family "Eukaryotic large subunit ribosomal RNA", at positions 23 to 612 of the family's 3401-position model. The record is from RNAcentral. Lineage: Eukaryota; Fungi; Neocallimastigomycota; Neocallimastigomycetes; Neocallimastigales.